GAUGAACGCUGGCGGCGUGCCUAAUACAUGCAAGUCGAGCGAACGGACGAGAAGCUUGCUUCUCUGAUGUUAGCGGCGGACGGGUGAGUAACACGUGGAUAACCUACCUAUAAGACUGGGAUAACUUCGGGAAACCUGAUCUAAUACCGGAUAAUAUUUUGAACCGCAUGGUUCAACAGUGAAAGACGGUCUUGCUGUCACUUAUAGAUGGAUCCGCGCUGCAUUAGCUAGUUGGUAAGGUAACGGCUUACCAAGGCAACGAUGCAUAGCCGACCUGAGAGGGUGAUCGGCCACACUGGAACUGAGACACGGUCCAGACUCCUACGGGAGGCAGCAGUAGGGAAUCUUCCGCAAUGGGCGAAAGCCUGACGGAGCAACGCCGCGUGAGUGAUGAAGGUCUUCGGAUCGUAAAACUCUGUUAUUAGGGAAGAACAUAUGUGUAAGUAACUGUGCACAUCUUGACGGUACCUAAUCAGAAAGCCACGGCUAACUACGUG
Molecule: ribosomal RNA, 497 nt
Filed under: uncultured bacterium
Lineage: Bacteria
Description: partial 16S ribosomal RNA
Rfam family: Bacterial small subunit ribosomal RNA
Source: RNAcentral